AUUUAAGCAUUCAGAAAGUAAUCACUGAAAUUUUUUAGAGAGUCUGUGGUUGGUGGAAACAGAUAGAUGAAAGUGAUGAAAAUUGGGCUGAAUGUUAUAAAGAAUUUGAAAUCAUAAGAAUUCGGUGCGCACACCUUACAGUGCAACUCGUGAAGCGAGAUUGAGAGAUAGGGAGGAUUCCCUAUAAUUGAGGUGGCACCGCGCAUCGACGUCCUCACA
RNAcentral lists this non-coding RNA (219 nucleotides) under Streptococcus infantis. Its description in RNAcentral is "T-box sequence". It matches the Rfam family "T-box leader". Rfam says of the family: Uncharged tRNA acts as the effector for transcription antitermination of genes in the T-box leader family. The record is from RNAcentral. Lineage: Bacteria; Bacillati; Bacillota; Bacilli; Lactobacillales; Streptococcaceae.